This 1021-nucleotide long non-coding RNA is filed under the name Pogona vitticeps (central bearded dragon). RNAcentral's name for it is "lncRNA (ENSPVIG00000003299.1)". The record is from RNAcentral. Lineage: Eukaryota; Metazoa; Chordata; Lepidosauria; Squamata; Agamidae.
AUGUGUAUUCAUAGCUCCUGCUUCCCAGUAAAUCUUCUCCUUGCCUUUUCAGGUGAGGCAUCAAACAUUGAGUCCUCAUGUUCAAGUCGAUGUUCAGCCGACGCAUUUGACCCCGCUGUUUGCAACCCGACCGCCACCCUGGAUCCUGCCACGCGGCUUGGAAACAUAAGAAGGCGUAAGGAGAAAUCAGCCAAAGGGGAAUCUCUGGUGCAUGCGAUGCUCCGUUGCGCCAGCAGAGACUCCCGUGAAAUGGUGGAUGAAAUGCGGCGGCUUUCCAGGGAGGACAACAAAGUGUUUGCUGAGAUGAGGGACACGAUGGCCCAGGAAGCCGCCAGCUUGGAACGGUACCGGGAACAACUUCUGGCCAGAAUUGAUCGUAACACAGACAUCUUUGCAGACCUUGCCAAGGAAAUGACCUCCAUGGUGAGGCGUCUCAGCGAGGGAGAGGGCUCCAGCAAUGAGAACGGCACAAAAGACAGGACGGAGGAUGAGCAACCAGGGCUUGCCGUGACUGCGGCCACGAAAAGAAAGCCGGGAGCUCCUUUCCGUCCUGGGGUGGUGGGGCAUAAGUGGCCAAAAUGGGGUUCCCUUGCCAAUAAGGGUCAACAUUGCCCUACAAAAAGGAGGAACAUUGCCGUCACCGGGAUGUCUGGAAGGGAAGGAAUGUCUGUGCAGAACAGAGAACAAGUGGCUGAAUCGCCUUCCACCAGGGUCCACGAGUCGUAUGCAAUGGUUACGGGGGAGGAGGGGCAGUGCACUAAGAGCAGAGCCCAGCCAAGCCCAGCAUCAUCAUCAUUAUCAUCCUCGACUCCUGAGAAACGUACCCGCCGGCCAGCAAAAACAUUCUCCCCUUGCUAGAGAACCAAGCUUUUGCAUAGGCAAGAAUUACGAUGGCUUAUGCUAGAGUUGCGCCUACAUUUUAUAUCCCGAGUGCAGAAAUAUUGUUGUUUUCAGUAAGCAUCCAUGUUGGCCUGGAGUGUGUCCUUAAUAAAGAGAUGGCUUUCUUUUGAAGUUUGUGGCA